GCUUGGGGACCCGGCGGCAGCUCAGAUCUCCAGGUGUCCCGAGGCCUCGCUGACGCCGGAGAGGGUGCCCCUGCUUUUUUCCGUUUGUUGGCCAUUGUUACUAAGACCUGCUUUUUCUACUGAGACGAAGUGCCUGUUAAAGUGCCUAUUUUUUUGUUGCCUAUUAUUGGUUCUACCGAGACUCAAUUGGUUCUCCUUAGACUGCCGAUUGGCUGAUGGCCCCGUCAAUCUCCAGGGGAAGAACUAGUUUUCAGACACCUGGGGAAAGUAUUACUUCUAGCCCCUUCUUGCUGAAAUGAAGGGUUCUGGAGAAAACCCAAGAGAUUAGGUGAAGCAGAAGCCUGAGAACCGUGUUUGGGGACCCACCACGGAAAAGCAUUGUAUGAAAUAAUGACACUCUCUGACUUCCCUCCUUUGGCUGCUCUGCUCUGCUCUCGGCAGCCCUUGCAUCCACAGAGCCACUGAAUGGCAAGCAAUGAUUCUAGCCCAACGUUUGUAAACUUGAGGUUCGCAGGCUGUAUGUGGCCAACAGAGAUAAAAAUGGAAGAAGAGCGCAUUUCCCAACACUUCCAAUAACCCAGUGCUAUGGACUGAAUUGUGUACCCCUCAAACUCCUAGUGUGAUGUUCACAGGAAACAUCCUGACCAGGCCCACCUGUGAAUGACUGCAGGAAGGAAGAAAUUAACACAUCCCCUCCGGAAGCUGACCAGAAGCAGGAAAUGUUUGACUUUACUGCCUCCCCUUUUAGUGUAAAAGAAGCCUGAAUUCUAAUUAUGGCAAGAUGGUUCUUUGGGACAUGAGUCUACCAUCUUCUUAGUCUACCAGUUUUCCAAAUAAUGUUGCUAUUCUUUGCCCGAACAUCUCGUCUCUCAACUGAUUGGUCUGUCAUGUGGUGAGCAGUAUGAGCUUGGACUCGGUAAGAUUUGGGCAAGUCAAUCUUUUGACAUCGUUUAGGCAGCACCCCAGUUCUUUGGGAAAUUGAAAGCAACUGUCUUUGUCUUGCAAGUAUUUGCAAGAUCAGAAUAAACACAGCCCAAAAUGGCCUGAGACUGAGCCUAGUUAACUCAAUCAGGUAGAACCUGAAAUCUAAAGGGAGGAAAAAAAGGAGGGAAAGAAGCCUUUUUAAAAGUAAAAACUACUGGCACCCAGACAUAUUGUAAUUAUUCCAUUUGUAUGAAAUAUCCAGAAUAGGCAUAUCCAUAGAAAGCUCAUUAGCAGUUGCCAGGGACUGAGUGGGAAAUGGAAAGCAAUUGCUAAUGGAUACAGGGUUUCUUCUUGGGGUGAUAGAACUAGUGGUGAUGAUUGUACACCUCUGUGAAAAACCACGGAAAUGUACACUUUAAAAGGGUGAAUUUUAUGGCAUGUGAGUUAUAUCUCAAUAAAAAUUACAGCAUUCAUGAGAAAAAAGAUGUUUUGUGUAUAUAUAUAUAUAUAUAUUUACAAUGGAAUACUACUCAGCUAUAAAAAGAUGAGAUCUUGCCAUUUGCUAUGACAUGGAUAGACCUUGAGGAUAUUAGGCUAAGUGAAAUAAAUCAGACAGAGAACAACAAAUACCGUAUGAUUUCACUCAUAUGUGGAAUAUUUAAAAAGUAAUAUAAAACCAAACCAAACAAAAACAAACUCAUAGAUAACGAGGCCAAAGUACUGGUCACCAGAGGGAGAGUGAAAUGGGUAAAGGGGACCAACUGUAUGGUGAUGGAUGGAAAGAAAACUUUUGGUGGUAGGUGCACUGUAAGUGUAUACAAAAGUUGAAACAUAAUGUUGUACACAUAAAACUUCUAUUAUGUUAUAAACCAAUGUUCAAUUUUAAAAAAUCUUUCUGAGGUCUUUAAAAAAAUAAAUUAUGUUUGAUGACAUGUCUAUGUAGUUUCUCCAAAUCUUUUUGGUAAUUUAAAACUUUAGAGUAUUUCUAAAGUAAGCUAAAUGAUGGAAGUUUAUUGAAUAUCCAGAUCAUUUCCAAAUAAGAUAGAAUAAUUAAUUGUUGAGCAUGUCUAAGUUAAGCAUAGUUAAUUAAUUGUUGAGCAUGUCUAAGUUUAACUACUUUUAUCUUCUUAUAAGAUUAAGAAGCCAAAGAUGUUUGGGUUUAUCCCAUACAUCUUGUACCACAUUAAGGAGAGAAAUUAUGCUAUGAGAAAAUCUGUGUUUCUAGAGGUUGUGGAGUAUGUUCAUAAGUUUUCCAAUCAGGAAAUGCUAGUAUGACAGUUCACAAUUGCUUGCUUCUUGGUUUUCUCUAGAGAUUAGGGGUUUUAAGAAUACAAUUAAUACAUAUAAUUGGGACUACUAAAAUUAAUAAGGAAAACAUCUUCAUAUGCAACAGAAAAAAAGAGUUUAAGGAUCGUAAAUGCAUUUUGUUAAGGGAAAAGAAAGUAAUUUUGUCCUAAGAGAAGUUAAACAAUAGAGAAAAGGGGAAAGCAUGGGACAAAAUCUGAAGGUAAAAAAGGAAGUUACAGGUUUGUGGAACAGAAUCCCUGAGAAAAGAGUUUUGUAUGUGAUCAGGACUGGCUAACACUGGAAUAAAUUUAAUUGAGUGAAUAAGUUUUAAUAUUAAAAGUAAGCUGGUACAAAAGUAGAGUCUGGUUUUCUCUCUGUUAAUAGGACAAAGUUUUCUUGCAGUAUUGAUCUGCUUUUGAUAAUAGAUUGUAAAGUUUCUUUACCUUUUAAGUUCCCUUUCAUAACUUUCUGUAGUUUACCUUUGAAAUCUUUUAGUGUCACUUUGGUUAAAUAAUUAAGUGAGUAUUGUUUCACAGUGACUGUGAUUCUGUUUGACCAAGUGUUUCCAAGUGUUUUAAAACCUUUUGAUAUCUUUGACAAACCCCCCAAAUCAAUUCUGAAUGAAGUCCUUUUGACCUCUAGCUAACUUUGGGGUGUUUCAGAGGUUCCCUGAAACAUCUCAAAGAGAGGUAUUAAACUAAUGAGGCUUAUUUUGGUAUGUUGAAUUAUGUCGGAAGCAUUGUCAAAUGAGUGAUGAUAAAUUUUCUUAGAUUAUAUUGUAUGGGCAAAUAUUAUUAAUAUAAAUG
This is a long non-coding RNA of Globicephala melas (long-finned pilot whale), 3017 nucleotides long. RefSeq lists it as uncharacterized. Lineage: Eukaryota; Metazoa; Chordata; Mammalia; Artiodactyla; Delphinidae. The record is from RefSeq and is a predicted model, not a curated record.